This 593-nucleotide long non-coding RNA is filed under the name Mytilus galloprovincialis (Mediterranean mussel). Lineage: Eukaryota; Metazoa; Mollusca; Bivalvia; Mytilida; Mytilidae. The record is from RNAcentral.
GUUGUCGUAUAUAUAUAUAUAUAUACAUGUUUAUCAUAAUUGUAUUGUAAUUACUGUAUAGAUAUUUAGUAUAUUUAUGUAUGUAUGUAUAUUGACCUCUUGUACACUGUUGUGUCUGAGGAUAAUAAAACUUUGAAUCUUGAAUCUACAUUAGAUUUUUUUCUUCGUUUCUGAUUGCCAUUGGACCAUUCCAGUUAAUGUUUGCUAAAGGGGGAUGGGAUGGAUGGUCCUUUCUGAGGGGUGUAAAAUUUAUACAUCUUAGGGGGUGUAAUUUUUUUUCUCCAUCUGACACGUACAAUUAUACGCAAAAAACUUCUGAGGGUCUUGCAGCAGUAAAUAGUUGGAAAGGUAAAAAUAAUUACAUCUUAGGGGUUACAAAAAUGCUUCUGUCAAAUCUUAUGGGUGCUUUGGUAUCUAAACAGUUUCGUAUCAUACAUUAUCUGGUAUCGAAAAUACACUAACUAGUCAUAUAUUAUGUACUAACUGGAAGCUUACCAGAGAUGGAAGGUAUAUUCUGACAGGUUGAAGUGUCAGCAAAAUUCUGAUGGGUACAAUCAUUGCAAUAAUUUUUCCCCAUGAAAGCCCAUCCACCC